AUGGCGCAGCGGCAGCAGCAGGAAACGAAGGCGAUCCCCGUGCGGUCCCUGGACGGCCGCACCACGACCGUGCGGCUGGCUGCCGCCUGCUCCGUCGACGACCUCAAGGCCGCCCUCCGCGCCUCCAACUUCCCUCCCCCGGCCGGCGCCCCCACGUUCCACCUCUUCCUCAAGGGCGCCAAGCUCCUCCCCCAGGCCAAGGUCGGCAACCUCCCCAUCUACGCCGGCGACUUCGUCUCCCUCAUCCCCUUCACCGCCAAGCCCACCACGCCCGCUCCGUUCGGCCGCCACGCUUUCUCUUCCUCGCCGUGGGCGGCGGCCGGCACAAGGAGGAAGCUUCCGGGUUCAUGGAGUGGCGGCGGCGACGACGACGUGUACGCGCCGAAUAAGGUGGCGAGACCGUCCUCUUCCUCGUGCAGCAACCAUUGCGGCGGCACGGAGCCGCUGGACCCGGCGCAGAUGGUGGAGCACCUCCGGCGAGGGCUCGGGAAGCACGGCCAGAUCGCGCACGUCGAGCGGAUGCCCGGCAGCGAGGCCACGUUCGCCGACGACGACCUACUUCACCGCUUUACAGACGCAAUGAGGAGCUGCCUCCGGAGCACCGGCGUGACGAGGCUGUACGCGCACCAGGCGCAGGCCGUGCGCGCCGCCGUCGCCGGCAAGCACGUCGUGGUGUCCACCUCCACGUCCAGCGGCAAGUCGCUCUGCUACAACGUCCCCGUGCUGGAGUCCGUAGUCUCCUCCCCGGCGGCGUGCGCGCUCUACGUGUUCCCGACCAAGGCCCUGGCGCAGGACCAGCUCAAGGCGCUGCUGCAGAUGAAGGCCGCGCUCCUCCUCGCCGGCGCUGGUGACUUUGGCGUUGAGAUAUACGACGGCGACACGCCGGUGCAGGACCGCGCGAGGAUCAGGCAGCAAGCGAGGGUGCUCAUCACCAACCCGGACAUGCUGCACGCCUCCAUCCUCCCCUGCCACGGCCAGUUCCGGCGCAUACUCUCCGGCCUCGCCCACGUCGUCGUCGACGAGGCGCACACGUACCGCGGCGCGUUCGGCUGCCAAGCCGCGCUCGUGCUGCGACGCCUCCGUCGUCUCUGCGCCGACGUCUACGGCCGCCGCCUCAUCUUCGUGUUCUGCACCGCCACGCUGGCCAACCCGCGCGAGCACGUCAUGGAGCUCGCCGGGGUGGACGAGAUGGAGCUGGUGGACCAGGACGGCAGCCCGCGCGGCGUCAAGCACUUCGUCCUCUGGAACUCCUCGUCGGCCUCAAAGUCGCCGGUGACGGAGGUGUCCCGGCUGGUGGCCGAGAUGGUGCAGCACGGGCUGCGGUGCAUCGCCUUCUGCAAGACGAGGAAGCUGUGCGAGCAGGUGCUGGCGGCGGCGCGCGAGGUGCUCGAAGAGGCCGUGCCGGCGGCGCCGGAGCUGGCGAGCUCCGUGUGCGUGUACCGGGGCGGGUAUGUGGCAAGCGACCGGCGGAAGAUCGAGGCGGACCUGUUCAGCGGGCGGCUCCGCGGCGUGGCGGCCACGAACGCGCUGGAGCUGGGCAUCGACGUCGGCCACGUCGACGCCACGCUCCACCUCGGCUUCCCCGGCAGCAUUGCCAGCCUUUGGCAGCAAGCCGGCAGGUCGGGCCGGCGAUCCAAGGACUCCAUCGCCGUCUACGUCGCCUUCGACGGCGCCGUGGACCAGUACUUCAUGAACUACCCCGACAAGCUCUUCGGCAAGCCGAUCGAGCGCUGUCACGUCGACGCGCAGAACCAGAAGGUCCUCCGGCAGCACCUCGCCUGCGCCGCCGUCGAGAACCAGCUCCGAUCCGACCGCGACGAGCCCUACUUUGGCUCCACCAUGAACGACGCCAUCACGUUCUUGAAAGAUAAAGGAAUCCUCACCAUCAAUCCAACCGGCGGUAACACGUGGAAGUACGCCGGCCCGGUCAGGCGGCCGUCGCAGUCGGUGAGCAUCCGCGCGAUCGAGCACGGAAAAUUCACGGUGACGGAGACGGCGAGCAAGCGAGUGCUGGAGGAGAUCGAGCAGAGCAAGGCCUUCUUCCAGGUGCACGAGGGCGCGGUGUACAUGCACCAGGGCGUGAGCUACCUGGUCGACCGGCUCGACCUCUCGUCCAGGACGGCCUACUGCGGCAUCAGCAUGUCGGAGCUUUGCUACCACACCAAGACCGAAGACUACACCGACAUCGACGUUGCCGCCCCCGCCGACCCUAGCGGCGUCCGCGCCGACGAGUGCACGGUGACCACGCGGUGGGUCGGCUACCGCCGGAUAUUCAAAACGACCGACCAGGUGUCCGACGUCAUCCCUCUCCACCUCCCCUCCUACUCCUUCGACACCCAGGCCGUCUGGGCGACGAUCCCCCAGACGGUCUGGGCGUCGAUCGAGCAGAGCAAGCUGUGGUUCCGGGGCGGGCUACACGGUGCCGCGCACGCCAUCCUCAGCAUACUGCCGCUGCACAUGAUGUGCGGCUCCGGCGAUCUCGGCACGGAGUGCGUGGAUCCCCAGGAGACGCGCAAGCGCGAUGACGACCGCGUGGUCGUCCCCGACAGGAUCUUGCUGUAUGACAAGCACCCCGGCGGCAUCGGGCUGGCGUCGCAGGCGAGGACGCUCUUCGGGGACCUCCUCGUGGCGGCGCUAGAGCUCGUGUCGGCGUGCGGCUGCCACAACUCCGACGGGUGCCCGAACUGCGUCCAGUCGUUCGCGUGCCGUGACACUAACAAGAAUCUGGACAAGGAGGCUGCCGUGGCGCUGCUCAAGGGUCUCAUUCAGUGGCAUUCUGAACUGAAGCCUAGUUAA
RNAcentral lists this ribosomal RNA (2796 nucleotides) under Triticum aestivum (bread wheat). RNAcentral describes it as "partial small subunit ribosomal RNA". The record is from RNAcentral. Lineage: Eukaryota; Viridiplantae; Streptophyta; Magnoliopsida; Poales; Poaceae.